UAGAGUUUGAUCCUGGCUCAGGAUGAACGCUAGCGACAGGCUUAACACAUGCAAGUCGAGGGGCAGCGGGGGUGAUGGCUUGCCAUCACCUGCCGGCGACCGGCGCACGGGUGAGUAACACGUAUGCAACCUGCCCGCCACAGGGGGAUAAGCGGAAGAAAUUCCGUCUAAUACCGCGUGACGCGGCACCGGGGCAUCCCGGUGCCGCCAAAGGGAUUACCGGUGGCGGAUGGGCAUGCGGCGCAUUAGCUAGUCGGCGGGGUAACGGCCCACCGAGGCGACGAUGCGUAGGGGUUCUGAGAGGAAGGUCCCCCACACUGGUACUGAGACACGGACCAGACUCCUACGGGAGGCAGCAGUGAGGAAUAUUGGUCAAUGGGCGCGAGCCUGAACCAGCCAAGUCGCGUGAGGGAUGACGGUCCUACGGAUUGUAAACCUCUUUUGCCGGGGAGCAAGCGUGCGUUCGUGAACGCGCGUCGAGAGUACCCGGAGAAAAAGCAUCGGCUAACUCCGUGCCAGCAGCCGCGGUAAUACGGAGGAUGCGAGCGUUAUCCGGAUUUAUUGGGUUUAAAGGGUGCGUAGGCGGGAUGCCAAGUCAGCGGUAAAAAAGCGGUGCUCAACGCCGUCGAGCCGUUGAAACUGGCGUUCUUGAGUGGGCGAGAAGUAUGCGGAAUGCGUGGUGUAGCGGUGAAAUGCAUAGAUAUCACGCAGAACUCCGAUUGCGAAGGCAGCAUACCGGCGCCCUACUGACGCUGAGGCACGAAAGCGUGGGUAUCGAACAGGAUUAGAUACCCUGGUAGUCCACGCAGUAAACGAUGAAUGCUAACUGUCCGGUGCGAGUGAGCGCUGGGCGGUACAGCGAAAGCGUUAAGCAUUCCACCUGGGGA
This 887-nucleotide ribosomal RNA is filed under the name uncultured bacterium. RNAcentral's name for it is "bacterial SSU rRNA". It matches the Rfam family "Bacterial small subunit ribosomal RNA", at positions 1 to 879 of the family's 1533-position model. The record is from RNAcentral.